CACGUAGGGGGCGAGCGUUGUCCGGAAUCAUUGGGCGUAAAGAGCGUGUAGGCGGUUCGGUAAGUCUGUCGUGAAAUCCUGGGGCUCAACCCUGGGCGUGCGAUGGAUACUGCCGGGCUAGAGGGUGGUAGAGGCGAGUGGAAUUCCCGGUGUAGCGGUGAAAUGCGCAGAUAUUAGGAGGAACACCGGUGGCGAAGGCGCUGCUCUGGGCCGAUACUGACGCUGAGGAGCGAAAGCGUGGGUAGCAAACAGG
RNAcentral lists this ribosomal RNA (253 nucleotides) under uncultured bacterium. Its description in RNAcentral is "partial 16S ribosomal RNA". It matches the Rfam family "Bacterial small subunit ribosomal RNA", at positions 524 to 776 of the family's 1533-position model. The record is from RNAcentral.